Molecule: ribosomal RNA, 253 nt
Filed under: uncultured bacterium
Lineage: Bacteria
Description: partial 16S ribosomal RNA
Rfam family: Bacterial small subunit ribosomal RNA
Source: RNAcentral
GACGAAGGUGGCGACCGUUGUUCGGAAUCACUGGGCAUAAAGAGCACGUAGGCGGUGAGGUAAGUCUGGUGUGAAAUCCCUCGGCCCAACCGAGGAACUGCGCCGGGUACUGCCUUGCUUGAGGACGGAAGGGGAGUGUGGAAUUCCUGGUGGAGCGGUGAAAUGCGUUGAUAUCAGGAGGAACACCGGCGGCGAAGGCGACACUCUGGUCCGUUUCUGACGCUGAGGUGCGAAAGCCAGGGGAGCAAACGGG